This 371-nucleotide transfer-messenger RNA is filed under the name Chitinophagaceae. RNAcentral's name for it is "Chitinophaga sp008086345 Standard tmRNA". It matches the Rfam family "transfer-messenger RNA". Rfam says of the family: Bacterial tmRNA, also known as 10Sa RNA or SsrA, is named for its dual tRNA and mRNA-like properties. Its role is to liberate the mRNA from a stalled ribosome. To accomplish this part of the tmRNA is used as a reading frame that ends in a translation stop signal. RNAcentral also lists the same sequence under 1 other name. The record is from RNAcentral. Lineage: Bacteria; Pseudomonadati; Bacteroidota; Chitinophagia; Chitinophagales.
GGGGCUGACCGGUUUUGACAGCAUAGGUCUUUGAAAGUGUAAGCAUGUCGUGCGUUGGAUAAUUAGCACGUAAAUCUGAAUACCCAAACUUUAAUUGGCGAAUCUAACUACGCCAUGGCUGCCUAAUUGAAUUAGGUACCCAUUAUAGCCGCCUGAGUUGUGACCCACUACGACUCUCGCCGCCGAAUCAAACCAUAGCGGGAUAGGUACACAUGGUUUCUGUGAGUGUGUAAUGAAAAUCAAAACGGAUAAGGACGAGGUUGGUUUGUUCCGCCCCUGCUGAGUCCCGACACAACAAUGCGGAAAUAAACAUGUAGAAAGCUUUUGGAGGAUAUGUUUGGACGCGGGUUCGACUCCCGCCAGCUCCACCU